UUUGGUCUCUGCCUUUAUUGAUAACCCAGGAUCCCUUUCUAAUUUGUGUAGCAACCUGUAUUGGUGUGACCCACCAAAAGCCGAAGGAGUUAUUAUCAGCCUCGGCCCCGUGAGUUGUUCCAUAGGAAUAAGACAUGGUAUAACACUGAGUCUUUAUCCACAAACAUGAGACAUUCCCAGGCAUGUGGUUUACUUUGCCACCUAACCUCUGUGGCACGUGGAUUGCAGUUACAGCAGCUACAGCAAUGCUGGUAGCUAAAAACACAGAAGCGGUUCCGAUAGAGGUCUCGGGAGCAAAACACAAGCCGGUCUUCUACGGAAACAGAAAGGAAAAGAAUUACGGAGGGGAAGAGAAAAACUAAUUAAAGACAGGCCAGAAGAGCCAGAGCAUGUGAAAGAAGCUAAAAGAGGCAGCUGUGAGAGGAACCGCAAGCGCUCAGUCAUCUGCGGAAGCAACCGCUGACAGUCUGGGUCACGUUGCUGGAGCAGCCAUUAGGGAAGAGCGUGACAGUGCGGCGCCGCGCGGCGCAAGGACGGUUUGGCUGUGACGCAUGCUCUCCCCCCUCUCGACCCCCCCUCUCCGCGGCGCCAGAAAUCCAGGCUUCUAUAACUUGUAAGAUGGCGGCGUCCACACGUAUGCUUCCUUCCCGGGACUAGCAAGGCAGCUAGAGGAUGACUUAAUGAGAGUGGAGAAACUGGCCAGUUAAUGAACGUGCCCUGUUCAAGAUGUCCAACUUCCCAGCUGCUGCUCCAGCUACCGUGCCUGCCGCCUGCCGCCUCCCGCCUCCCCUGCAUCAUGGAACUUUCCCAGGUCCAGGCCUGAGGCAGUCGGGGCUGAACCAUGACCCAUAUACAAAACACAAGACGCAGGAAGAGAGAAUGAUAGCUUUCGAGUUCUCUAAUUAUCAAAUCGUUGAUUGAAAAAACGUAAAUCGGCUCUUGCUCUCUUGCUCUUCCCCUCUUUCCCCUUUGUUCCUUCUCUCCCCAUUCCCCUCCCCACUUCUUUCCACAUGCUCAUGGCCGGCCUCUACCCCUCUACUCCUCUCCUUUUCUACUCUACUCUCUCUCUCUCUCUCUCUGCCCUACUACCCUCUUAACUCCCCUCCGCAUACCCUGAAUAAAUUCUAUUCUAUACAAAAAAAAAAAAAAAAAAGAAAAGAAAGAAAAAAAGAAAAAAGAAAAGAAAAGACAUAAAUCAUGAAAGUGGAAGGCAGGGGCCACCCUCACCCCAACCCCACCCCUGCACAGCCCUGUGGCACUUUCCUCUUACCUGGGACUGCUUACAGCAGAUGGUAGGGAACAGAGGGAAUGAGAGGCUUGGGGAACUUUCUCCCACCCUGUUAGAAUUCCACUUAGAUGCCUCCACACAGGGACUGGGACUGACUGAGUAAGAAUCAAGCAACAAAGGAACACUCUGGGAGUUUUUUGUUUUCUCUGGGCAACCUGAUAGAGCCUAAGGAUUCAGAUCCCUAACAAGACAGCACAGUCUUAAUCAGAGGUGGUGUGGGGUUGGGUGGUUCUCACACCGGAGAAAUCCACUAGGUAAAUAGAACAGACAGAAACAUAUAGAAAGAGACACACAAUAAAGACAACAAGGGGUAGCCACCACAAACUCACAUACCUUAAUAGAACAGGAGAAUCCAGUUGUGUCUCACACGGAGUCUGGACACUGGAUCAGUGGCUGUAGCUGGCCUCUCCUUUAUGUCCUGAACAGAAGGCACUUUAACCAGACUUACCUCAGUAGGUGACAGACUAGAUGAUUCUUACUGAAGGAACUUUAGACAGGAAUGUAGGAUGCACUGAGAUCUUCUCUCCCAGAGCCCUGGAAAGUUUCAGGUUUUGUACCCCCUAGGGGAGAGUCUGCAGGCACUGUGGUCCAUAGCCUGUGGUGGUCAAACUGGUGAGAUUCUCAAAGGGAUCUCAGUGGAACUUCCAUUGUUGAUAGGUAGACACCCAAAAACCAUUUAUAUGACCAAAGUAUGAAUUGAAAGUUUGUAUUAAGUCAUCUAGAAAUUGCCUGGAGAGAAAAGCAGCCUCAAAUGCAUUUUAUAGGAAACUUUUAAAGGCAAAGACUAGGAAAACUACAUCUUGGUUGUCAGGGGAAAGGUAAAACAAGCAGGUUAGCAGAACCAACAAUAUGCAGUAAGCUGGGAUUUUGACCCUGAAUUUCUGGAACAAGUUUGGAGACUUUCCCAUAGUACUUACCGUGGUGGGGGUAGAAAAGUAGGGAAGUCAGUUACAGGUAAACCAAAGAUGGUUCCAAUUGAGACAAGAUGGAGGAACCUUUCCCCUGUCAUAAUUUCAGUUAACCUAUGAGUAUAGUUGGUAGUCCCUGAAGAAUCUUUGUAUGAAGAAAACUCUCAGAAGUUUUCUUUUCAGAAAUGAAGUACAAUUUGACUACCUGCAUCACACAUAUUCCCCUUUAUGUGAUUGCAUCAUAGUGAGGGCUAGCCAAUUUACCAUGCCAUUUCACUGGUGACCUCUGGAUGAUCUGCUAUACUUUUAAGAGGUAUAGGUAUCCGUGUGUAAUUUAAAAAUCUUUGUUGAGUUUAGAAUGCAUGCAUCCUUUAUCCAUUCUACAUUUUUAUUUAUGGUAGAUUACUGAUCCAAAUCCUAUUGCAAUUUGGUUUCUAGUAUUAAACUGAUUAUUAGCCCCUCUUGAACUCCAGUAGAAACUAUAGAAUCCCCCUGAGCUCCAGUGGAAUCUAUAGAAACAUGAGGGUCAAUGACAUUGCUGUUUUGGAUGAAAUCAUUGAGGUUGGCCUUGGUACACUGACAAUGUGUGGUAGUGAAAGGGAUAGCCAAUUGAACCAUAGUGUAGGUUCUGCUCCGCUUGGUUGGCAAGAUUUUUAAGUUAUGGUUCACCAUAUGUGUCCUCUGACAAUGCUCAGGCUAGUGUGGUGUCCCAUCUCCUCAAAGGCAGAGAGGUUCUUACAUUCAGAUGCAUUUUGCGAGAAUUCCAGCUCAUCUGCCCAUCUUAGAAGACAGGAGAUGUAAUUGCUUCCUAUCAAGGAAGGUUAACGAGUGAGGAGACAGUCUUUGGCUCAGUCUCUCCAUGGUUGGAAAGAAAAGGGACAUGGAUUUAGAAGACAGGUUUCCCUAAGCCAUCUCAUCUUGGAAGGGGACAACCCUGUAGCUCAUUCCUCAGGUGUCUGGUGUCACCUGAGCAAGAAUGAGAUCCCUUAAACUUCUGGCCUCCCUGCCACAGAAGAAUGACAAUAGUGUCUGAAUAGUGACAGAACAUUUGAUCCAUUCCAACCAGAUACUCAUCUUGAAACACCCAGUUUCAACCCCUAUUGUCUGUUUUAAAUCUUAAAACUUGGAACUAUUUGUACCUUUUUGGGUGUUCCUUAGUAAUCUCUAGUUUAGAGGUAGGGCUACAUUGAGUAACUAAACAACAGAAAAAUGUCCCCAGGGUCUCUCUUCAUUUCCCAAAUAAAGCUCAUAGACAUGUAGGCCACAUAUUCCAGUGAUGAAUGAACGAAUCCUGGGAAGUUAUACAGAGGGUCCUUACAGCUUCCGGGAACACUGCCCUUCACUAUUCAGAUUUUUCUAAGGGAUGUGCCUCGAGGCUUGGGGUCCUUUAGUGGGACUGUCCCUUGGCAGUAUAGAGUGUCAUAUAUCACCAAACUUAUGGUAUGGAGGAGAUCCAUGGGAGGAAAAUUCAGUACAUGUCGCAGACCACCCAGGGGAGUGUGUCAGCAGAGGGACCAAGGCUUGGAUUUCAGGUAGAGAACAGAUUUGGUGUGACAGACAGACACAAACUUGAGGUGUGUGCUGCUGCAAAAAGCUUUACUUUUUGGCAUAGAUUUAAGCAGUUAGAACAGGUAAAUCAUAAUUGGCUGUCAUCCAGCUCUUAUUCAUCACCCUACCAAAUGUCUCUUGCAAGGAGGAAAGCAGAACGUACAAUCUAGGAAAGAAUUUUUAGCCUCAAACAAUAGUUUAGAAAACUGUAGUUAUACUGUCAGAUUUGUGGGCACCAGGUAUGUAUUCAUCAUUUACCUUUGUUUUAAUAAUUUUAAACUCUAUAUUUAUGGCCCCUCAGAAUAGUAAGGAAACUUUUGUAACCAUAGUUAACUCUUUUUUUUUUCUUUUCUUUUUUUCGGAGCUGGGGACCGAACCCAGGGCCUUGCGCUUCCUAGGUAAGCGCUCUACCACUGAGCUAAAUCCCCAGCCCCAUAGUUAACUCUUGAUAAGUUUGUUCAACUUGUUGGAACUUGUCUAUGAUCUUUUUAAAAGAAUCGUUACUGUUUUGAAUCAUGUUAAAUAAAACUUAUCUAAAAGGGGGGAAAGGCUUUUCUGGAACAGUCAUGUUGUUAGUAACUGCAAUUAAUUUCUCUCCUAUUUACUGGGAGCUAAUGGAUAUAGCAUUUGUAUUCAUCGCAGCUGUUGAGUUCAUCAGGAUCAUGGUGGUGUGAGACGGUUCCGUCUCUGAACUUUCAGUUCCUGAGACAUCUAAAGGUACAUGACCAUCUUCCCACACUGCUAUAUUCUUAAAAUCAGAUAUUGCUGACAGGCUUAAAAUUGCUAAGAUCACCAAGGCUAGAACACAGAAGGCACCUCCACCACAGGCAUAGACCCUGGUCAUCAUCUAUUUGUAGGGAGACGGCCAGGACCUCCAGGAGGCCGAGCCAUUCCAGGCACAGGCCUCUGUUCUGGAUAGAAACGAAGCACAAGAGCUUCAGGUCACACAGACUCCACUGGAGUGGGUGUGGCAAGGACACAUAUAUUUGUCAAUCCAAGAAAGUUCUUUUCCAUAGGGUAAGAAAGCCAUUUCUCUACUUGGACUUUAACUGUUUCCUUGUUUGUUUGCUUUUAGUCUGAGAGUUAGGAAAAAGUUUCAUUCCAGCACAAGAGUCAGUGAGCUUGAAGUGAAGGAAUAAUUUCUGAAAACAAGAAAAGGUAGAAAGGAAAGUAUAGGAAGAGCCACAAAUUUUCAUAUCCUAACCCUGUAAUUCCAUUCGUAUAUGACAAAGACUUAUGUUCUAGGUAGGAUGGAGAGAAAUAUGUAGCCCCAAAGUUAGCCAGAAAAGUAAUUUCUUUUUUUUUUUUUUUUGGUUCUUUUUUUCGGAGCUGGGGACCGAACCCAGGGCCUUGCGCUUCCUAGGUAAGCGCUCUACCACUGAGCUAAAUCCCCAACCCCAAUUUCUUUUCCCAAUAAAUCCACACUCAAAUCUUUUGUAACUUUCUUACUAUGUAUGGUCGACUUAAAAAAUGUUUAAUACAGUUUACAUGUAAGGGUGUUUUGUGUUCAUAUAUGUCUGUGCACCACAUUCGUAUGAAUGCCUGAUGGGGUCAGGAUCCAACUUCUGAGCAAGGGGGAAGAUAAAAGACAUGCGAGCAAUAAGAAUAACCUCUCAGAUAGGCCUCUGGCACACACGCUCCAGUCAUGGGAAGAUGAUGCUUGAACAAAAGGAAGCAGAUGCCUCUGAUGGAGAGGGCUCAGUGAUAUAGAGCAACAGAUCAAUUGCAUCAAUUUCUGGGCCCCAACUCUAUACUUAGCCCAAGCUGAUGUCUUUCUAGUUAUGAGAUGUCUUUCUAGUGAUGAGAGCUCCAAUAAUAAUAGUGAUAAUAGUGAUAUAUGUGACAAGGCUGAAGAGAUGGACCAGUUUAAGAGCACCAGCUGUUCUUCCAGAGGACUUAGGCUUAAUUCCCAGCACCCACAUGACAGGUCAAAAGUGUCUCAACUCCCAUUCCUUUUGCUAGAAGAAGGACCCGGUUUCCCCACAUCUUGUUUUGUGUUUAGAGGCUUAACCUCCUUUUUCUUUCUUCCUAUCAUGAAAACUCUCGGAAAGCUCCAUAGGGGCUUUUCUUGGCUACUGGUUGGUCACCAUAACUCCAGAUGAAGAAGAUCCUGGACAGAGUCCAUAUACAUCACCUUAUGCCAUAUGAGGGUGUGAUUAGAUCAGCACUCACAUAGAUUUCACAUGGAAGUUUCUGGUACUCUAGCUAAAUUGUUUCCUUUGUCUCUGAGCAGGCCCUCCCUUCUUAGGAAGGUAGAACCUUGGAUUGAGAGUCCAUAGACAUGCUGGACAUGAUGGCGCAUGCCUUUAAUCCCAGCACUUGGACAACAGAGGCAGGCAGAUCUCUGAGUUCGAAGUUAGCUUGGUCUACAGAGUGAGUUUCAGGACACCCAGAACUAUACAGUCUUGAAAAACAGCAAGAACAACAACGACGACGACAAAUCUUUAAUAUGCCUAGAACUGUGUUUAUAGUCAUGCUAAAUAUAAAUUUAAUUUAGUUAUGAAAACAAGAUUGAGGAAGAGGCCAGUUUAUAUGUUCCAUUUUUUUUAUAGUCUUUUGUGUAUGGUGUCAAAGUUAAGCCUAAACCAGGUAAAUCAAAGUAAAUUUGGAAAAAAAAGCUUAAAAUUUCUAAUAUAAAAUAAUAUUUAAAACCAAGGUAUUUUAAACAAACAAAAAACCCUGUAAAAUUAAUGUCUGGUUAUGAAGAAUUAUUCAGAAACAAAACAGGGUAAAAUUCACAUAACAUUCCAAAAAAUGAUUGGUUGGUAUACAUGUUUGGCAGGACAUCUCUAGAUUCUUUUCCCUUGGAUGAACAUAGACGUCCUCAGAGUAAGCUGCAUGCUAAGCGCCAACACAGAAUAAAGGCACAUGGACAAAUAAGAUCUGGUAGAGUCUAUUAGUUCUGUCUCCAGGUAUGUAGGCAAGGUCAGAGAAGCAUCUCCUUUUCUUUUCUUUCUUUUUUUAAAAAAAGAUUUAUUUAUUUUAUUUAUACAAGUACAUUGUAGCUGUCUUCAUGCACAGGAGAAGAGGGCAUCAGAUCCCAUUACAGAUGGUUGUGAGCCACCAAGUGGUUACUGGGAAUUGAACUCAGGACCUCUGGAAGAGCAGUUAAUGCUCUUAACCACUGAGUCAUCUCUCCAGCCCCAGCAUCUCCUUUUCUACAAGGAACAUGGAUUGCUUAUGAUGUCUCACAUUACAAGAGAAUGGACUCUCCUGCCCAUGGGAGAAUCCUGGAGUCUGUACACACAUCCUAAAUGUCUUGAGCAAUGGAAAGGUAAGUAGCAAUUACUCUACACUCAAUGUCUCAAAAACAGGCAUCUGAUGAAGAUAUAAACAGAAGGACCUUGAACCUAAGCCAAUCAUCUGUUAUGGGACCUGCAUACUAAUGCUAUUGGCUGUGCCCUUUAUCAUGGUCCCCAGUUCUCUUCCUUGCAGCAAAGUUAUUCCCAGGGAUGAGAAGCUAAUACCUGAUUCUACCAAGAAUCCCUAGGGAUUUUCUAAAUAAAUAUAACACUAAAUUUCUACUGUAAGGUCAUAUAUACCAGUCAAUACAGGUACCUAUAUACAUAUACCAUAGGAUCAGUUGGAACAGCAGACUGAACUAUGGAUACUCAUUCUAAUACUAAGGUUCAUGUGUCGUCUCAUGGAUCCAACAUACCUGGUUAAAGAAAACAACAUCACCUGCGAGACCUGCACUGUAGAAGUUCAUCCAGACCAGCCCCUCUGGAUCACCUUCCAGAAAAUUCCCCAGGGGACAUUUGGAGAUGGGGAUCACAGUGCCCCCUUCUCCCCUUUGGAUACAUGGCACUGUUGGCAAUAAUACUUUCCAUAGCUGUCACAACGCCCGGGAAUUGGAGCCAGGCACAAAACUAUGUUACCUUGCUAUAGCAGAAAAUGACAGGUACUCUGGGCAAUUGUUUCGUUGUUUUAGUGACUUACAGUCUGUCCUUGUUGAAGAAUCUGAGCAAUACCUUUACCCAGGACUUUCCUCUGGGUCAUUCUUGGUUUAUUACUUGGGCCUAGUGUUCUAAACUGGCUAACUCAAUUUCUUAAAGAAGUUUCGGGUCAGAUUGAUGCCGUUCAAAAUCAACUUUUACCGCUUUGUGAGGUCUGGUCCUCUUCUUGACUGAUACUCAUGGAAGAAUUUGUCCUCUCUCCUACAGGAACAAUAUUGUUUCUAUACCAACAGAUCAAAAUCAGUUCUGAUCAUGGUUCAGAGACUUAAGAGACCAGGCAUUAGAAAAGAAAGAAAGAAAGAAAGAAAGAAAGAAAGAAAGAAAGAAAGAAACAAAGAAAGAAAGAAACAAAGAAAGAAAGAAAGAAAAGAGUCUCUUCCUCUGCGUGGGCUCUUGGUAUUCGUCCAUCCUGGUUCCUCCUCCUACUGAUCAUUCUUUUUAUCCUUUCUCCUUAUCCUCACAUUUACAUCUUUACCUUGUCUUUUAGAAAUUUUCCUGGGUUGGGGAUUUAGCUCAGUGGUAGAGCGCUUGCCUAGGAAGCGCAAGGCCCUGGGUUUGGUCCUCAGCUCCGAAAAAAAGAACCAAAAAAAAAAAAAAGAAAUUUUCCUGAGGCCCCUCUUGGCUCCUCUUAGUGUUGUCAGUCAUCAUAUAAGAUGAAGUCAAAACAAUACUUUUCUUAGAAUGACUCCAGCACCCCCCCCCCAAAUAACCUGGACUAAUUCUCCAUCCACCAGCAGGAAUUAGUCAGAGAAGUAUGCCCCCUCUCUUUUAUAUAUAAAGGGUCUAGAAUAAAGUACCUCCCACUUCCCAAAAGAUAAGACCACAAAACUGAGCUUUAAGUUCCAGGAAGCCGGCUAUUUGGGGUUUGCAGAAGAAAGGCAGCUGAUCUUGACCCCAGACACCCAGUGGUUACAGAGAGACAUCAGACACAGCAGAUUCAAAAAAAGGCUUGUCUAAGGAAAACAGCUAACUUGCUCAUUCAGCCAGUAAUGAAAUCUCCUUCCCCCUCAGUAGCCUUAGCUAGAAAAACCCCAGCUUUUUUUUUUUUUUAGAAAACCCCAUGUACACUGUUUUCUUGAACUGUGGGUCACUGAGUGACUGGGUCCUGUCCCUUGACCACAUGAUCAGAACUUGAGAUGCUAUACCUCUGGUAGGAAAUAAAGCCUGCCCUAGCUGUUCGAGGUUCUCUACAUUUUCAACUUUUAUUCCUUCCUAUAAACUUCAUUCUUACUUACCCUUAAGUUUUUUGUUUCACUUUUUGUUUUUUGAGACAGGGUCUCUCUGUGUACCUCUGGCUGUCCUGUAACUCACUCUGUAGACCAGGCUGGCCUCAAACUCACAGAGAUCUGACUGCCUCUGCUUCCUGAGUGCUGGGAUUAAAGGUGUGCACCAGCACUGCCCAGCUCCUUAAAUGUUGUAUCCAUAAUAGCUGUGCUUUGGAUUCGGAAUGGUUAACUUUAUUAAGUAUGCAGCAAGCAGGAGUAAUAGAGCAAAAGAACAAGCAGCAGGGUCAUCAGGUCCCGGGCUUCUAACACCAUCAGAAAGGCACUCGGAAACCUUGGUCUUUCCUCCCUCUAGAGUCUAGGUCUUCUUCCCAAAUUGGAUGGAGAUACCCAGAAAUGACUAGACAGUACUUUCUACUAUAGCAUUUCAGCAGAAGAAAUGGUUUCAUAGCCACGGAACGAAAUAGAGGCCAGGUAGAGGUUGUGUCUGCCUUUGAUCCCAGCACUUGAGGUCAACCUGGUCUACAGAGUGAGUUCCAAGACAACCAGGGCUACACAGAGAAACCCUAUCUCCAGAGAGAGAGAGAGAGAGAGAGAGAGAGAGAGAGAGAGAGAGAGAGAGAAACGAACUAGAGUCUGCAUGUUCUUCAGAAAAUGGUCAAACACAGGAGCAAGCCUACUCUUAACUGAGAUAAAACUACGUGCUAUAAAAGCCAGAUCACACCUAGUACUCCUCACAAGAGCUCAAGGAGAGAUAUUAGGUCAAGGCUUUGAGAGGAACAAAUUCUCAACGGAAGGAACUGACUAAGCGAUCAUGCAUUGGAUAAUCAAAAUUUUAAGUCUCUAUUUUCUUCAGCCAUGGUUUGAGAAGCAAAGAUCUCUAUGUACAGAAGAGAGUCCCUGAAUGUCUUAAAGAAGGCACAAAUGGAAGACUAUCCAUUUGCUCAGUGGCAGCAAAUCGAUCUAUUUGUUCUCCCACUCAGUUAUUUCCCUACCUCAAAUUCCUCCUGUAGCAACCAGACAUCUCUACCUGCUCCUUUUCACUCAAGAUGUUCUUGGUUCCUUGGGAUUCCUUCUGGGUCUCUGGGAGCCAGCUAUCCAGUGUUGUGGUCACGAGGACCACAGAGGUGAGGAAUCAGGAGGUUUGUAAAAAAAAAAAAAAAGAAUUACUAUGUAAUCCCAAAUUUACACUUCUAGUUCCACAGAUUACAGAAAGCAUAUGUUCAUGUAAAUACUUAUGCACCAACAAUGAUCAUGACUUAGUUGACUAUCUGUUAGCUGUUUGUCACUUGGUCAGCAUCUCGUGACUUUGCAGGCAUCUUGAGUUAAUUAUAUAAGCUCUCUGACUUACAGGUGUUCCACCGCUGCUAAUCAUGUUUUCUUUGUUAUCCCAGUGGCCACAAAAGCAGCUGCAGUGUUUCUGGUUAUCUCUUUGUUUACUACUGGAUGGUCUGGGGUCUCUUUCCUCAAAGGCUAGGGGGUUGUUAGAAGCCAUCCUUAUUUACAAAUUAGUCUAUUAUAAUUAGUUACAUUAGAGAUGAUGUAUUAAAAGUAGUUAUAUAAUCUGUAACAUUCACUAGCCUGUUCUUGCUUCCCGAAGGGGAAAGGUCUCAGAAGAGCUAGCCAGCCUUCGUCAGUGGCCUUGCUUCUUAGAGCCCCUCUCUCUGUUCUCCACUAUUCGGCUAUCUCAUAGCCAGUUGUAAAUGUCUUUGUCUCUUCUUGGUGCUUCUAGAUUUGCUAUUUGAACCCUUACAUUGCCUUUUAUCCUUAAUAUCCAUUUGUUCUGUAACAUACAGAAUAACUUAUAGUUUUCACAGUAGGCUCUUUUUCUUAUGGCCUACUAUGAGCUAACUCCUGCCUCAACAUAUAACGUAAUUUUUAGAAAAGUAUAUAAUUGUAUUCAACUGGAAAUUCAUGUUUUGAAUACUAAAUUAGAAAAGAAUUUGUGAAGCUUCAAGAUGUUUUUUAAAAAAGGUGUUGGUUGGUGGUGGCACACACCUUAUUAAAAAUACUCCCAUCACUCAGGAGGCAGAGGCAGGUGGAUCUCUGUGAGUUGGAGACCAGUCUCUCCUAUACAGCAAGUUUCAGGACAUCCAGAGCUACACAGAAAAAUCCUAUCUUGAAACUGCUGCCACCCCAAAACAAAAAGGAAAGAAACAUACAAAAUGAAAAGUAACAGUUGAGUUUUCUGAAUGUACCGCAUACAUGAGAUACAGAUAGUUUGAAUGUUAACUAUUGCUCAACUGGACCUGGGCGAACAUCCAUCAGGUUACCCACAGUGGGGUCCCCAUAUGGUUACACAUUGCAAUCUUCACAUUUAAUCCUUGUGUUAUCUUGAAUCUUAAAGAAUAGACUUUCUUACUUGCUCUGUUCAGCCUUCCAGUUGCAACUGUCCCCUUGAAGGGACAAAGCACACUUUCCAUAGAAAGGCCCUGAUUUUUAAUGUGUGUAUAUAUGCAAAGAGACACCAUUAAAAUCUGUUAACCAUACCUCAUGGAGGCCCCACUGACCAGAAAAUUACUAUGUAGCCAAAGAUGGCAUUGAUUUUGCCAUAAUCCUCUGUCUUCUGAAUAUUAGGAUUACAAGCAGGAGCUACCAUGCCUGCUUCUUACUGGCGUUUACCUUUCCCCAGACUCGUUGUCUUCCAAACUAGGCAUAUAGAAAGAGUGCUCCUAGGGACUUCUGGAGCGAUUGGCCAGCUCCAGACAUGGACAAUGCCUGUGCAGGGCCCCUGGACUCUGCCAAGUGCUCAGGAGAACUUGCAAGCGAUGCUGCUUCCUUGAACUAGUGGGUCUGUCUCAAAGAAGCGUGCAAGCUCUUAGGGAACUUUCCAGAGGAGGCCUCACUGACUGAGAAGAUGGUAGACUGGAAUCAAAGAGAGAGGUCAGCACUUAAGUGGGGUCACCUAGAAUCAUAGGAAUGUGGUUGGUAAACAUCCGAAGGAAGAGAAGAAAAAAAAUUCACAGAAAACAUAAGUCAAAAAGGACGGAGUGGGGCCCGUUAUUCUCUUUUGGGAGAGCUACUUCUGAAGGCUCUGGUCCUGCUUAGAAACACAGCCAGAAAUGGAAACUUCAGACCUUAAACAAGUAAAGAAUUAAAAAACUAAGUGCAGCUUAAAGCAGCUUCUAGUCUACAGGUAAAGAAAGAGAACUUUGAACUUUAACUACUGAGUAAACACCAGGAUGGACAAACAAUAGGAACAUCAGGUUACUUAUUAAUUUAUUAACAAACCACAGAGUAAGAAACAGGGCACAGUUGAUUUCUUUUUCUUUUCAUUUUUUUUUAAUUUCUAUUUUACACCAUGCUGGGAGUUGUGAAUGCUAGGAAAGGUCUCCACCACCAAGCUUUAUUCUGGGUCUUCCCUGGGUUUUGUGUCUUUACAAUGUAUGUUAUAACUUAAAUAACAAAUGAGAAGCUGUUCCAAUUGACGAAAGUCACAGGACUAAUCACGUCUUCGCUUAAAUUAUAUUUGUCCUCGGACACUCUUGAAGUAUAUAGCUAUUUUGCUGCCUCUCAUCUUUAAGUUGUUAUUGUCUUUUUUUUUUUUUUCCUGGAGCUGAGGACCGAACCCAGGGCCUUGUGCUUGCUCGGCAAGUGCUCUACCACUGAGCUAAAUCCCCAACCCCCAUCUUUAAGUUGUAACUAAAUAUAAUGUAUAGAAAAUUAUGUGCUUGAAACCCUGACCUGUAGCUCUUUCCUUGACUAGAAUUUCCAAAGUUAUAACAUUAAUGUAGUAAAAUGUUUAAAUGGCACAUAAAUGUUCUCACAUGAAUAAUAAAAGUAGGCAUAAGUCCUUGGCACUUAUAAAAUGGCUUCAUAAAAUAAUCCAGGUCAGGCACGUGGCUCACGCCUCCAAUCCCAACAGUUAGGAGGCUGAAACAGAUCGCUGUGAGUUUAAGGUCAGCUUGUGUAGACAGCAACUUCCAGGCCACUCAGGACUACACAGUAAGAAAAUGUCUAAAACAGAGAGAAAGAAAAAAAAAUCCCGAAUCAGUUAAAGUAGGGAUUGUAAGGGUUAAAGUUAUUACAUAAAAUGUAAGCAGAUAAAGGGGUGAUUGUCCCACCGCUUCUACUUAGAAAGAUCAAUGCAUCUGCUCUUUAAAGCUUACCCAUGCAUUUCCCAACAACUGUGAAUUAAAGGACAUCUCUAUUAUAACCUUAAGGCUUUGUAUUGGCUGAGGUAGUGAUAGCAGUCAAUACUAUUACCAGUUCCAUUCACACGUCAUCAACAAUUCUUAUGACCCUCACAGACAUACCCAGUCAGUUUUGUUCAGCCCUCAUGUCAGCAGCCUUUCAGGCCAUUUCCAUGUCCAAAAGUACAUAACACAUCCUUUCUACCUACCUGUUUAGUAAACGCAAACAGCUCUGUACACACACACACACACACACACACACAUGUGCACAUUCAUGAGCAUGUGUAUUAACACUGUUCCUGGGAAGAUAUGAACAAAUGUUUAUUCACCCCGGAUUAUUACCCAACACAAAGUACAGAUACCACUAAAGUCCUACCUGCUGAAGGGUUGGGGAUUUAGCUCAGCGGUAGAGCGCUUGCCUAGCAGGCACAAGGCCCUGGGUUCGAUCCCCAGCUCCGGAAAAAAAAAACUAAAAAAAAAAAAAAAAAAAAAGUC
Long non-coding RNA from Rattus norvegicus (Norway rat), 13551 nucleotides. RefSeq annotates it as JPX transcript, XIST activator. The record is from RefSeq and is a predicted model, not a curated record. NCBI's taxonomy places the organism in Eukaryota, Metazoa, Chordata, Mammalia, Rodentia, Muridae.